Molecule: long non-coding RNA, 1495 nt
Filed under: Homo sapiens (human)
Lineage: Eukaryota; Metazoa; Chordata; Mammalia; Primates; Hominidae
Description: HSALNT0364817
Source: RNAcentral
GGCACCUUGAUCUUGGACUUCUCAGACUUCAAAACUAAUGCAAGCUCCACAAGGCCAGGAAUCUUUCCUGUCCAAUUCACCACAGCAGCCUCAACCUGGCAGACAGUUCAGCAUACAGCUAAAUAAUGGCUCCCAAAGAUGUGUCUACAUCCUAAUCUCCAGAAUCUGUGAAUGUUACUUUAUGUGGCAAGUACGUGGCAGAUGUAAUUAAGUCAAGGAUCUUUGGAUGGUUAUCCUGAAUUAUCUGGGUGGGCCCUAAAUACAAUCACAAGUGUCCUUAUAGGAGAGAGGCUGAAGGAGAUUUGGUACCAACAGAAGAGGAGGAGGAAAUUGUGAUCAUGCAGAAACUGGAGUGAUGGAGUCACAAGCCAAGGAAUGCCAGCAGCCACCAGAAGCCGAAAGAGGCCCUGCCAACACCUUGAUUUAGGCCUAAUGAAACUGAGUUUAGAUUUCUGGACCCCAGAACUGUGAAAGAAUAAAUUUCUGUUGUGUUAAGCCCCUAAUUUUGUGGUAAUGUGUCACAGCAGCCCUUGGAACCUAAUACACUCCCCAAGCCAUCACAAUGACGGUUAAGGGAAGUAAAACGAUAAAAUUCAUAAAGAUAAAGAGAAUAACAGAAAAGGAUUUCAAUAAGUGUUUGGAAGAUGGAAAAGGAAAGAAUGAGAAGCAACUUACUUAUCAGAGUAGAGAAAAUUACCUGAGAGCCUGGAGAAAGGGAAGUGAAUAAGACAGAGUCAGUUCUCCCCAGAGAAGCCAGACACAGGGUCAUUGAGCACCAAGCAGGGGCAGGAGUGGGGUGCAGGGCUGGCACUGGGGAUAGAGUGGAAACAUUAACAUGGACCUUGGAUCCCUGGGCCCUGACUCCUCUGACACUGGUCUUCCUGAACUAGCUGCAUCCCUUCUUGUCAUGCCCUCCACUCCAGUCCCUGCCCUUGACCCCACCACCACCACCUCAGCUGACACACAUCAGUUCAGCUCACACUCCUUCUGUUAGAAAGAACCAGUCACAAGGUUCUUCCUGAAUGCAAUGGGGCUGGGAAAUGCUGAGCAGUGCCAGGCACAGGCUUCCUCUAAACCACUCUGCACCAAGGAAGAAGGACAUUUUUUUGAUGGUCUAAUACCCGUCUCUGCCACACUCUCUAAGGCAAUUAAUUUUAAAAUUUUAGAAUACUGGAAAUAAAGAAAAGAUACUAAAAACUUCCAGAAUGAAAAACCAGGUCACAUAUUGCCUUAUGGAUCAGCAAUCUGACUGGCAUCAGCCUUUUCAAUAGCAAUACAAAAUGCCAGAAGACAACAGGGCAAUGCCCUCAAAAUUCUGAGAGAAAAUAUCUUGCUAAUAAAACAUCUAUUACACCUAGCAAGCAGCCAUCCCAAAGGCAGAAGGCUGUGAAAGAACAAAAGGGAGCUAUCUAGGGAGAAAAACAUAACUGUUAAUUAUUAUUAUAAUAAUAAUAUAUUUUUAGAGACAAGGUCUCUGUCAACCCAUGCUGAGGUG